Molecule: non-coding RNA, 70 nt
Organism: Rhineura floridana
Lineage: Eukaryota; Metazoa; Chordata; Lepidosauria; Squamata; Rhineuridae
Source: the annotation of a RefSeq genome assembly
GGCUGUGGCUCAGUGGUAGAGCAUCUGCCUCGCAAGCAGAAGGUCCCAGGUUCAAUCCCGAGUAGCAUCU